GGGUUGUGAGGUUAAGCGACUAAGCGUACACGGUGGAUGCCCUGGCAGUCAGAGGCGAUGAAGGACGUGCUAAUCUGCGAUAAGCGCCGGUAAGGUGAUAUGAACCGUUAUAACCGGCGAUUUCCGAAUGGGGAAACCCAGUGUGAUUCGUCACACUAUCAUUAACUGAAUCCAUAGGUUAAUGAGGCGAACCGGGGGAACUGAAACAUCUAAGUACCCCGAGGAAAAGAAAUCAACCGAGAUUCCCCCAGUAGCGGCGAGCGAACGGGGAGGAGCCCAGAGCCUGAAUCAGCAUGUGUGUUAGUGGAAGCGUCUGGAAAGGCGCGCGAUACAGGGUGACAGCCCCGUACACAAAAGCGCAUGUGCUGUGAGCUCGAUGAGUAGGGCGGGACACGUGGUAUCCUGUCUGAAUAUGGGGGGACCAUCCUCCAAGGCUAAAUACUCCUGACUGACCGAUAGUGAACCAGUACCGUGAGGGAAAGGCGAAAAGAACCCCGGCGAGGGGAGUGAAAAAGAACCUGAAACCGUGUACGUACAAGCAGUGGGAGCACCCUUCGGGGUGUGACUGCGUACCUUUUGUAUAAUGGGUCAGCGACUUAUAUUCUGUAGCAAGGUUAACCGUAUAGGGGAGCCGGAGGGAAACCGAGUCUUAAUUGGGCGUUAAGUUGCAGGGUAUAGACCCGAAACCCGGUGAUCUAGCCAUGGGCAGGUUGAAGGUUGGGUAACACUAACUGGAGGACCGAACCGACUAAUGUUGAAAAAUUAGCGGAUGACCUGUGGCUGGGGGUGAAAGGCCAAUCAAACCGGGAGAUAGCUGGUUCUCCCCGAAAGCUAUUUAGGUAGCGCCUCGUGAAUUCAUCUCCGGGGGUAGAGCACUGUUUCGGCUAGGGGGCCAUCCCGGCUUACCAACCCGAUGCAAACUGCGAAUACCGGAGAAUGUUAUCACGGGAGACACACGGCGGGUGCUAACGUCCGUCGUGAAGAGGGAAACAACCCAGACCGCCAGCUAAGGUCCCAAAGUCAUGGUUAAGUGGGAAACGAUGUGGGAAGGCCCAGACAGCCAGGAUGUUGGCUUAGAAGCAGCCAUCAUUUAAAGAAAGCGUAAUAGCUCACUGGUCGAGUCGGCCUGCGCGGAAGAUGUAACGGGGCUAAACCAUGCACCGAAGCUGCGGCAGCGAACGUAUCACCCAAGACAACUUUACGGAGUUGACGAUUGACGGAGCGAAGCGACGUCAAAGCGUUCAUUAAAGUCGAGUUGGCUUAGGGAUACGUUCGUUGGGUAGGGGAGCGUUCUGUAAGCCUGUGAAGGUGUGUCGUGAGGCAUGCUGGAGGUAUCAGAAGUGCGAAUGCUGACAUAAGUAACGAUAAAGCGGGUGAAAAGCCCGCUCGCCGGAAGACCAAGGGUUCCUGUCCAACGUUAAUCGGGGCAGGGUGAGUCGACCCCUAAGGCGAGGCCGAAAGGCGUAGUCGAUGGGAAACGGGUUAAUAUUCCCGUACUUGGUGUUACUGCGAAGGGGGGACGGAGAAGGCUAUGUUGGCCGGGCGACGGUUGUCCCGGUUUAAGCGUGUAGGUGUGUGUUCCAGGUAAAUCCGGUUCACUUUAACACUGAGGCGUGACGACGAGGCACUACGGUGCUGAAGCAACAAAUGCCCUGCUUCCAGGAAAAGCCUCUAAGCAUCAGGUAACACGAAAUCGUACCCCAAACCGACACAGGUGGUCAGGUAGAGAAUACCAAGGCGCUUGAGAGAACUCGGGUGAAGGAACUAGGCAAAAUGGUGCCGUAACUUCGGGAGAAGGCACGCUGACACGUAGGUGAAGUGAUUUACUCAUGGAGCUGAAGUCAGUCGAAGAUACCAGCUGGCUGCAACUGUUUAUUAAAACACAGCACUGUGCAAACACGAAAGUGGACGUAUACGGUGUGACGCCUGCCCGGUGCCGGAAGGUUAAUUGAUGGGGUCAGCGUAAGCGAAGCUCCUGAUCGAAGCCCCGGUAAACGGCGGCCGUAACUAUAACGGUCCUAAGGUAGCGAAAUUCCUUGUCGGGUAAGUUCCGACCUGCACGAAUGGCGUAAUGAUGGCCAGGCUGUCUCCACCCGAGACUCAGUGAAAUUGAACUCGCUGUGAAGAUGCAGUGUACCCGCGGCAAGACGGAAAGACCCCGUGAACCUUUACUAUAGCUUGACACUGAACAUUGAGCCUUGAUGUGUAGGAUAGGUGGGAGGCUUUGAAGUGUGGACGCCAGUCUGCAUGGAGCCGACCUUGAAAUACCACCCUUUAAUGUUUGAUGUUCUAACGUGGACCCGUAAUCCGGGUUGCGGACAGUGUCUGGUGGGUAGUUUGACUGGGGCGGUCUCCUCCUAAAGAGUAACGGAGGAGCACGAAGGUUGGCUAAUCCUGGUCGGACAUCAGGAGGUUAGUGCAAUGGCAUAAGCCAGCUUGACUGCGAGCGUGACGGCGCGAGCAGGUGCGAAAGCAGGUCAUAGUGAUCCGGUGGUUCUGAAUGGAAGGGCCAUCGCUCAACGGAUAAAAGGUACUCCGGGGAUAACAGGCUGAUACCGCCCAAGAGUUCAUAUCGACGGCGGUGUUUGGCACCUCGAUGUCGGCUCAUCACAUCCUGGGGCUGAAGUAGGUCCCAAGGGUAUGGCUGUUCGCCAUUUAAAGUGGUACGCGAGCUGGGUUUAGAACGUCGUGAGACAGUUCGGUCCCUAUCUGCCGUGGGCGCUGGAGAACUGAGGGGGGCUGCUCCUAGUACGAGAGGACCGGAGUGGACGCAUCACUGGUGUUCGGGUUGUCAUGCCAAUGGCACUGCCCGGUAGCUAAAUGCGGAAGAGAUAAGUGCUGAAAGCAUCUAAGCACGAAACUUGCCCCGAGAUGAGUUCUCCUGAGACUUAGAGUCUCCUGAAGGAACGUUGAAGACGACGACGUCGAUAGGCCGGGCGUGUAAGCGCAGCGAUGCGUUGAGCUAACCGGUACUAAUGAACCGUGAGGCUUAACCUUACAACGCCGAAG
This 3009-nucleotide ribosomal RNA is filed under the name Salmonella enterica subsp. enterica serovar 1,4,[5],12:i:-. Its description in RNAcentral is "23S ribosomal RNA". It matches the Rfam family "Bacterial large subunit ribosomal RNA". Lineage: Bacteria; Pseudomonadati; Pseudomonadota; Gammaproteobacteria; Enterobacterales; Enterobacteriaceae. The record is from RNAcentral.